Molecule: long non-coding RNA, 1130 nt
Filed under: Mustela putorius furo (domestic ferret)
Lineage: Eukaryota; Metazoa; Chordata; Mammalia; Carnivora; Mustelidae
Description: lncRNA (ENSMPUG00000026541.1)
Source: RNAcentral
UGUAAACACUGAGGAAAAACCCUAAGUAAACCAUGGGCUUGGGGGCAGAGUGAUGUUUCAAUCAAUGUAGAUCCAUCGAUUAUAACAAAUGUAUCAUUGUGGAGCUGGGUGUGAUAGUUGGGAAGGCUAUGCAGGUGUCAGGGCAGCAGGUCUAUAGAAAUUCUCUCUGUUUUCUGUUCAAUUUUUCUGUGAACUUGAAACUGCUCAAAAAUAAAUCUUUUCCUUUUUUUUUUUUUAAGUAAAACUACACCAAUUGUGGGAAAUUCAAUGAAAGAGGUCAUGCAGGGAACGUAACCAUCCAGCACAGUCUGGCAGAGUCAGGAAAGCAGUUCAUCGUAAGCGACCUUUGAGCUAAAAGCUGAAGCAUAAAUGGUGGAAAUACCAAUUGUGCUAAAUGCUGUAACUUGACAAACCAAAGGGAUCAUAUGUACAACAUGAACCUGAUACAGGACAACAUACCAGUCCUACUUAAGACUGUUACCGUAUGUGGCAAGUAAUGCUUAUAAUGCUAAGUUCACUCAUGUGAAGUGUGCCUCAAAUCUGGAAAAAGAAACCACGGGAAGGGGCCAAAUAUUGUCAUGGUAACGGAAACACAAAGCACCCAGGCUAAAGGCUUUCUAAUAAGGAAGAACAGCCAGCAUUCGUACUAAACUAUUGGUCACACUCAAGUGGACAGAGAGCUUGUUGACUCCUUUGCUCCAGACCAGCGUCCUGGAGACAUGGAACAAGUUUUAGGUGGCUUCACAACUUUCUCCAAGCUCGUCCUGAUACACCAAGUGGUGACUCAGAGCUCAAGUCCAGGUCCUGUCUGUCCGCAAACCUUGAGCUCCCUCUGCCAUGCAGGAUGCCUUUCCACCAACCAGCAUCCAGACUCACACCAAUGUCCAUUUUUAAUUGGAGUACGACAUCCAUAUAGGAAAGGGCAUCAACCCUAAGGGCACAGCACAGGGAAUCUCCACACACCGGACGCACCCACAUGACUAUCACCGCACCAAGAAGGAAUGCGGGACCGACAACCCAGAAUCUCUUCACUUUCUCCUUUCUUGUCACUAUCACCCAAAGGACUAACCACCGCCCUGACUUCUAACCAUAAUUUUUUGCCCUUAAAAUUUUUAAAUAAAAGGAAUCAU